This 995-nucleotide ribosomal RNA is filed under the name Leptopilina clavipes. RNAcentral's name for it is "SSU rRNA". It matches the Rfam family "Eukaryotic small subunit ribosomal RNA", at positions 3 to 933 of the family's 1831-position model. The record is from RNAcentral. Lineage: Eukaryota; Metazoa; Arthropoda; Insecta; Hymenoptera; Figitidae.
CCUGGUUGAUCCUGCCAGUAGUCAUAUGCUUGUCUCAAAGAUUAAGCCAUGCAUGUCUAAGUGCAUGCCAAAUUAAGGUGAAACCGCGAAUGGCUCAUUAAAUCAGUUAUGGUUCCUUAGAUCGUACCCACAUUUACUUGGAUAACUGUGGUAAUUCUAGAGCUAAUACAUGCAAACCAGAGUUCCGACCAGAGAUGGAAGGAACGCUUUUAUUAGAUCAAAACCAAUCGGUGGCGGGCUUUGCUCGUCCACCGUUUACUUUGGUGACUCUGAAUAACUUUGUGCUGAUCGCACGGUCUCGUACCGGCGACGCAUCUUUCAAAUGUCUGCCUUAUCAACUGUCGAUGGUAGGUUCUGCGCCUACCAUGGUUGUAACGGGUAACGGGGAAUCAGGGUUCGAUUCCGGAGAGGGGGCCUGAGAAACGGCUACCACAUCCAAGGAAGGCAGCAGGCGCGCAAAUUACCCACUCCCGGCACGGGGAGGUAGUGACGAAAAAUAACGAUACGGGACUCAUCCGAGGCCCCGUAAUCGGAAUGAGUACACUUUAAAUCCUUUAACGAGGAUCAAUUGGAGGGCAAGUCUGGUGCCAGCAGCCGCGGUAAUUCCAGCUCCAAUAGCGUAUAUUAAAGUUGUUGCGGUUAAAAAGCUCGUAGUUGAAUCUGUGUCGCACGCUGUCGGUUCGCCGCUCGCGGUGUUUAACUGACAUGCUCGUGAGACGUCCUACCGGUGGGCUUAGCUCCUUCGGGGGCGGUCCAACUAAUAUCCCAUCGCGGUGCUCUUUAUUGAGUGUCGAGGUGGGCCGGUACGUUUACUUUGAACAAAUUAGAGUGCUUAAAGCAGGCUAUCAUUUGCCUGAAUAUUCUGUGCAUGGAAUAAUGGAAUAGGACCUCGGUUCUAUUUUGUUGGUUUUAAGAAACCCGAGGUAAUGAUUAAUAGGGACAGAUGGGGGCAUUCGUAUUGCGACGUUAGAGGUGAAAUUCUUGGAUCGUCGCAA